Non-coding RNA from Potamilus streckersoni, 73 nucleotides. NCBI's taxonomy places the organism in Eukaryota, Metazoa, Mollusca, Bivalvia, Unionida, Unionidae. The record is from the annotation of a GenBank genome assembly.
GCUCCGGUGGCCUAGUGGUUAGAGCAUCAGCUUCGGAUGCAGGAGGUCGCGAGUUAGAACCCCGGUCGAGUCA